This is a long non-coding RNA of Galleria mellonella (greater wax moth), 389 nucleotides long. RefSeq lists it as uncharacterized. Lineage: Eukaryota; Metazoa; Arthropoda; Insecta; Lepidoptera; Pyralidae. The record is from RefSeq and is a predicted model, not a curated record. The transcript is spliced from 3 exons.
AUAAACCAGUUUUAAGUCGCAUUUAUAAGUACACCGGUUUCAUAACUGGCUACUUUAUGCUAUUGUAAUGAUCUAGGAGCUGCCGCUGCCAACAAAAACUCUAGCAUUGUUUCUAUACUUGUUACCGUAUACGGUCAAGUAUUUUAUCACUUCGCGCGUCCUCUUCGACACUUCCGAGAAAAAGUACGUCAUCUCAACAAUAUACAUAAUGAAAUAAAAAAAUAAAUACAACGACUGAUCCAAAAUGCUUUAGUACCGGUCCACUUGUUGCUCGUGACUGACUAGCUACGGCGUGUCGUCUGAAACUAAUUCCUUUGAGUGUGAUGCCCUCUACAGUAUAGACAGAUCUUACGUUUCCUUAUAAACGGUGUAAAACCAGUGACAGUAAG